GGGGGCACCCUUACACAUGCAGUCGAGCGGUAGCACAGGGGAGCUUGCUCCCUGGGUGACGAGCGGCGGACGGGUGAGUAAUGUCUGGGAAACUGCCUGAUGGAGGGGGAUAACUACUGGAAACGGUAGCUAAUACCGCAUAACGUCGCAAGACCAAAGAGGGGGACCUUCGGGCCUCUUGCCAUCAGAUGUGCCCAGAUGGGAUUAGCUAGUAGGUGGGGUAAUGGCUCACCUAGGCGACGAUCCCUAGCUGGUCUGAGAGGAUGACCAGCCACACUGGAACUGAGACACGGUCCAGACUCCUACGGGAGGCAGCAGUGGGGAAUAUUGCACAAUGGGCGCAAGCCUGAUGCAGCCAUGCCGCGUGUGUGAAGAAGGCCUUCGGGUUGUAAAGCACUUUCAGCGAGGAGGAAGGUGGUGAGCUUAAUACGCUCAUCAAUUGACGUUACUCGCAGAAGAAGCACCGGCUAACUCCGUGCCAGCAGCCGCGGUAAUACGGAGGGUGCAAGCGUUAAUCGGAAUUACUGGGCGUAAAGCGCACGCAGGCGGUUUGUUAAGUCAGAUGUGAAAUCCCCGGGCUCAACCUGGGAACUGCAUUUGAAACUGGCAAGCUAGAGUCUCGUAGAGGGGGGUAGAAUUCCAGGUGUAGCGGUGAAAUGCGUAGAGAUCUGGAGGAAUACCGGUGGCGAAGGCGGCCCCCUGGACGAAGACUGACGCUCAGGUGCGAAAGCGUGGGGAGCAAAAAGGAUUAGAUACCCUGGUAGUCCACGCUGUAAACGAUGUCGAUUUGGAGGUUGUGCCCUUGAGGCGUGGCUUCCGGAGCUAACGCGUUAAAUCGACCGCCUGGGGAGUACGGCCGCAAGGUUAAAACUCAAAUGAAUUGACGGGGGCCCGCACAAGCGGUGGAGCAUGUGGUUUAAUUCGAUGCAACGCGAAGAACCUUACCUACUCUUGACAUCCAGAGAACUUUCCAGAGAUGGAUUGGUGCCUUCGGGAACUCUGAGACAGGUGCUGCAUGGCUGUCGUCAGCUCGUGUUGUGAAAUGUUGGGUUAAGUCCCGCAACGAGCGCAACCCUUAUCCUUUGUUGCCAGCGGUUCGGCCGGGAACUCAAAGGAGACUGCCAGUGAUAAACUGGAGGAAGGUGGGGAUGACGUCAAGUCAUCAUGGCCCUUACGAGUAGGGCUACACACGUGCUACAAUGGCGUAUACAAAGAGAAGCGACCUCGCGAGAGCAAGCGGACCUCAUAAAGUACGUCGUAGUCCGGAUUGGAGUCUGCAACUCGACUCCAUGAAGUCGGAAUCGCUAGUAAUCGUAGAUCAGAAUGCUACGGUGAAUACGUUCCCGGGCCUUGUACACACCGCCCGUCACACCAUGGGAGUGGGUUGCAAAAGAAGUAGGUAGCUUAACCUUCGGGAGGGCGCUUACCACUUUGUGAUUCAUGACUGGGGGAAGUCGAAGCGUUGAGGACCC
This 1472-nucleotide ribosomal RNA is filed under the name Serratia marcescens. RNAcentral describes it as "bacterial SSU rRNA". It matches the Rfam family "Bacterial small subunit ribosomal RNA". Lineage: Bacteria; Pseudomonadati; Pseudomonadota; Gammaproteobacteria; Enterobacterales; Yersiniaceae. The record is from RNAcentral.